GAUGAAGAACGUAGUGAAAUGCGAUACUUGGUGUGAAUUGCAGAAUCCCGUGAACCAUCGAGUCUUUGAACGCAAGUUGCGCCCGAAGCCAUUAGGCCGAGGGCACGUCUGCCUGGGCGUCACACAACGUUGCCCCCCCAACCCUCGACUUCCAAGAGGACGGGGGGCGGAUGCUGGCCUCCCGUGCGCCACGGCUCGCGGUUGGCCCAAAUGCGAGUACUCGGCGACGAGCGCCGCGGCAAUCGGUGGUUGUCCAACCCUCGGUGCCAUGCUGCGCGCGCUAGCCGCUCACUGUUACUCGACGACCCCAAUGCGUCGUAUCCACGACGCUCACAACGCGACCCCAGGUCAGGCGGGGCUACCCGCUGAGUUUAAGCAUAUCAAUAAGCGGAGGA
This 395-nucleotide unclassified non-coding RNA is filed under the name soil metagenome. Its description in RNAcentral is "partial contains 5.8S ribosomal RNA, internal transcribed spacer 2, and large subunit ribosomal RNA". The stretch from base 1 to 122 matches the Rfam family "5.8S ribosomal RNA", at positions 35 to 154 of the family's 154-position model. The record is from RNAcentral.